AACGAACGCUGGCGGCAGGCUUAACACAUGCAAGUCGAGCGCCCCGCGAGGGGAGCGGCAGACGGGUGAGUAACGCGUGGGGAUGUGCCCAAAGGUGCGGAAUAACUCAGGGAAACUUGAGCUAAUACCGCAUGUGCCCUUCGGGGGAAAGAUUUAUCGCCUUUGGAUCAACCCGCGUCAGAUUAGCUAGUUGGUAGGGUAAUGGCCUACCAAGGCGACGAUCUGUAGCUGGUCUGAGAGGAUGACCAGCCACACUGGGACUGAGACACGGCCCAGACUCCUACGGGAGGCAGCAGUGGGGAAUAUUGGACAAUGGGCGCAAGCCUGAUCCAGCCAUGCCGCGUGAGUGAUGACGGCCUUAGGGUUGUAAAGCUCUUUUAACAGGGACGAUAAUGACGGUACCUGUAGAAUAAGCCCCGGCUAACUUCGUGCCAGCAGCCGCAGUAAAAC
This 450-nucleotide ribosomal RNA is filed under the name uncultured bacterium. Its description in RNAcentral is "bacterial SSU rRNA". It matches the Rfam family "Bacterial small subunit ribosomal RNA", at positions 29 to 526 of the family's 1533-position model. The record is from RNAcentral.